UGACGGCUACCCGGUUGCGGGAGUUGAUCAAAAAACGGUGAAUGAAUUAAAUUACAUACCGCACGGAUUCGAAGGUGAACCGGGACGGAAGG
Molecule: non-coding RNA, 92 nt
Organism: Geobacteraceae bacterium GWC2_55_20
Lineage: Bacteria; Pseudomonadati; Thermodesulfobacteriota; Desulfuromonadia; Geobacterales; Geobacteraceae
Source: Rfam